CAGAUCAUGUGUAACUGGCGUAGCAUGGGAAACCAUGAGGGAGCACAUGAGGUAAUGAUAAGCCGCACGCCUGGGCAAAGUAU
This 83-nucleotide non-coding RNA is filed under the name Sporolactobacillus inulinus. Its description in RNAcentral is "ZTP sequence". It matches the Rfam family "ZMP/ZTP riboswitch aptamer (pfl RNA motif)". From Rfam's summary of the family: Previously known as pfl RNA. ZMP is also known as AICAR. Lineage: Bacteria; Bacillati; Bacillota; Bacilli; Caryophanales; Sporolactobacillaceae. The record is from Rfam by way of RNAcentral. RNAcentral also lists the same sequence under 1 other name.